RNAcentral lists this long non-coding RNA (301 nucleotides) under Sorghum bicolor (sorghum). RNAcentral's name for it is "long non-coding RNA (SBIC_LNC014770)". The record is from RNAcentral. Lineage: Eukaryota; Viridiplantae; Streptophyta; Magnoliopsida; Poales; Poaceae.
GGCAAAAACUAGGACCAUUAUUGCAUUAGACAUGAGUGCUAAUUGUGCUUAGCUAUAGAAAAGAUAUGAUUUGUCCACUGCAAUUAAGGGCUAAGACUAGGGCCAUAGCCCUAGUAGCCCUAGUGUUGGGUCCGCCACUAGAAACAGCAGCACCACCUUUACCUUUGACGUCUCGUGCUGGCAGCUGUAGGUCAGUCUGCUGUUGAUGAGAGAAGCCCGUCAUCGCACCAGCCAGCUUGUUCGCAGCAUCCACGUCCACCAUGGAAGAAGACUGUCCUUCAGCUGAACCCGCCUGUUCUGG